Molecule: ribosomal RNA, 353 nt
Filed under: uncultured bacterium
Lineage: Bacteria
Description: bacterial SSU rRNA
Rfam family: Bacterial small subunit ribosomal RNA
Source: RNAcentral
AGAGUUUGAUCAUGGCUCAGGACGAACGCUGGCGGCGUGCCUAACACAUGCAAGUCGAGCGGAGACAGGGAGUAGCUUGCUAUGAGCUGUUUUAGCGGCGGACGGGUGAGUAACGCGUGAGCAACCUUUCCCAGACAGGGGAAUAACACACCGAAAGGUGUACUAAUACCGCAUAAGACCACGGGAUCACAUGGUUCUGAGGUAAAAAGAUUUAUCGGUUUGGGGUGGGCUCGCGUCCGAUUAGGUAGUUGGUGAGGUAACGGCCCACCAAGCCGACGAUCGGUAGCCGACCUGAGAGGGUGAUCGGCCACAUUGGGACUGAGACACGGUCCAAACUCCUACGGGAGGCAGCA